Molecule: unclassified non-coding RNA, 157 nt
Organism: Callithrix jacchus (white-tufted-ear marmoset)
Lineage: Eukaryota; Metazoa; Chordata; Mammalia; Primates; Cebidae
Rfam family: Metazoan signal recognition particle RNA
About the family: The signal recognition particle (SRP) is a universally conserved ribonucleoprotein. It is involved in the co-translational targeting of proteins to membranes.
Source: Ensembl
GCUGGGCAUACUGAUGUGGGCCUGCAGUCCCAGCUACUCAGGAGGCUGAGGCAGAGGAAUUGCUUGAGCCUAGGAGUUUGAGGCUGUAGUAUGUUAUGAAUGCCUGUGAAUAUCUACUGUGCUCCAGCCUGGGCAACAUAGCAAGACCCUGUCUCUA